This 488-nucleotide ribosomal RNA is filed under the name uncultured bacterium. RNAcentral's name for it is "bacterial SSU rRNA". It matches the Rfam family "Bacterial small subunit ribosomal RNA", at positions 7 to 518 of the family's 1533-position model. The record is from RNAcentral.
GAGAGUUGAUCAUGGCUCAGAACGAACGCUGGCGGCGAUGGAUAGGCAUGCAAGUCGAACGGGAGCAGCAAUGCUCCAGUGGCGCAAGGGUGAGGAACACGUGAACAACCUGCCUUCGGAGUUGGGGAUAGCUUCUGGAAACGGGAGAUAAUACCGAAUAACAUCACCGGAUCGCAUGAUCUGAUGAUCAAAGCAGCAAUGCGCUUGAAGAGGGGUUCGCGUCCCAUUAGCUAGUUGGUGAGGUAACGGCCCACCAAGGCGAUGAUGGGUAGCUGGUCUGAGAGGACGAUCAGCCACAUUGGGACUGAGAUACUGCCCAGACUCCUACGGGAGGCUGCAGUCGAGAAUUUUGGGCAAUGGACGAAAGUCUGACCCAAGCAAUGCCGCGUGCGGGAUGAAGGUCUUCGGAUUGUAAACCGCUGUCAAGAGGGACGAAACAUGACGGUACCUCUGGAGGAAGCCACGGCUAACUACGUGCCAGCCGCGGC